RNAcentral lists this ribosomal RNA (425 nucleotides) under uncultured archaeon. Its description in RNAcentral is "partial 16S ribosomal RNA". It matches the Rfam family "Archaeal small subunit ribosomal RNA", at positions 323 to 746 of the family's 1478-position model. The record is from RNAcentral.
CUACGGGGUGCACCAGUUAGGAAACUUCUACAAUGUACGAAAGUAUGAUAGAGCAAGCCAGAGUGAUUCUCUAAUAAUUGAGAAUCUUUUAUGCGAUGUAAAAAUUCGCAUGAAUAAGGACUGGGAAAGACUGGUGCCAGCCGCCGCGGUAAUACCAGCGGUCCAAGUCGCAGCCAUUUUUAUUGGGUCUAAAACAUCCGUAGCUCGUUUCGUCAGUCUUUUGUGAAAUCUAGCCUCUCAAGGGUUAGGCGGGCAAGAGAUACUGCGGAGCUAGAGAUCGGGAGACGUAAGAAGUACGCAUAGGGUAGCGGUCAAAUGUGUUGAUCCUUUGUGGACUAACGAUAGCGAAGGCAUCUUACGAGAACGAAUCUGACAGUGAGGGAUGAAGGCUAGGGGCGCAAAACGGAUUAGAUACCCUUGUAGUC